This 320-nucleotide ribosomal RNA is filed under the name uncultured bacterium. Its description in RNAcentral is "bacterial SSU rRNA". It matches the Rfam family "Bacterial small subunit ribosomal RNA", at positions 470 to 789 of the family's 1533-position model. The record is from RNAcentral.
UGACGGUAUCUAACCAGCAAGUCACGGCUAACUACGUGCCAGCAGCCGCGGUAAUACGUAGGUGGCAAGCGUUAUCCGGAUUUAUUGGGCGUAAAGGGAACGCAGGCGGUUUUUUAAGUCUGAUGUGAAAGCCUUCGGCUUAACCAGAGAAUAGCAUUGGAAACUGGAAGACUUGAGUGCAGAAGAGGAGAGUGGAACUCCAUGUGUAGCGGUGAAAUGCGUAGAUAUUAGGAGGAACACCGGUGGCGAAGGCGGCUUACUGGACUGAAACUGACACUGAGGCACGAAAGCGUGGGGAGCAAACAGGAUUAGAUACCCUG